RNAcentral lists this ribosomal RNA (447 nucleotides) under uncultured bacterium. RNAcentral's name for it is "partial 16S ribosomal RNA". It matches the Rfam family "Bacterial small subunit ribosomal RNA", at positions 29 to 523 of the family's 1533-position model. The record is from RNAcentral.
AACGAACGCUGGCGGCAGGCUCAACACAUGCAAGUCGAACGCCCCGCAAGGGGAGUGGCAGACGGGUGAGUAACACGUGGGAACCUUCCUCGUUGUACGGAACAACCCAGGGAAACUUGAGCUAAUACCGUAUACGUCCGAGAGGAGAAAGAUUUAUCGCAAUGAGACGGGCCCGCGUCGGAUUAGCUAGUUGGUGGGGUAACGGCCUACCAAGGCGACGAUCCGUAGCUGAUCUGAGAGGAUGAUCAGCCACACUGGGACUGAGACACGGCCCAGACUCCUACGGGAGGCAGCAGUGGGGAAUCUUGGACAAUGGGCGCAAGCCUGAUCCAGCCAUGCCGCGUGAGUGAAGAAGGCCUUCGGGUUGUAAAGCUCUUUUGUCAGGGACGAUAAUGACGGUACCUGAAGAAUAAGCCCCGGCAAACUUCGUGCCAGCCGCCGCCGUAA